RNAcentral lists this ribosomal RNA (253 nucleotides) under uncultured bacterium. RNAcentral describes it as "partial 16S ribosomal RNA". It matches the Rfam family "Bacterial small subunit ribosomal RNA", at positions 524 to 776 of the family's 1533-position model. The record is from RNAcentral.
UACGUAGGGUGCAAGCGUUGUCCGGAAUUAUUGGGCGUAAAGAGCUCGUAGGCGGUUCGUCGCGUCGGCUGUGAAAACCCGGAGCUCAACUCCGGGCCUGCAGUCGAUACGGGCGGACUUGAGUGUUGCAGGGGAGACUGGAAUUCCUGGUGUAGCGGUGAAAUGCGCAGAUAUCAGGAGGAACACCGGUGGCGAAGGCGGUUCUCUGGGCAUUACCUGACGCUGAGGAGCGAAAGUGUGGGGAGCGAACAGG